GCUGCAACUCGCCUGCAUGAAGUCGGAAUUGCUAGUAAUCGCAGAUCAGCAUGCUGCGGUGAAUACGUUCCCGGGCCUUGUACACACCGCCCGUCACACCAUGGGAGUCGGUAACACCCGAAGUCGGUAGCCUAACCGUAAGGAGGGCGCCGCCGAAGGUGGGAUUGAUGACUGGGGUGAAGUCGUAACAAGGUAUC
RNAcentral lists this ribosomal RNA (197 nucleotides) under uncultured bacterium. RNAcentral's name for it is "partial 16S ribosomal RNA". It matches the Rfam family "Bacterial small subunit ribosomal RNA", at positions 1304 to 1500 of the family's 1533-position model. The record is from RNAcentral.